CGGUCCGGCCGGGAACUCAAAGGAGACUGCCAGUGAUAAACUGGAGGAAGGUGGGGAUGACGUCAAGUCAUCAUGGCCCUUACGACCAGGGCUACACACGUGCUACAAUGGCGCAUACAAAGAGAAGCGACCUCGCGAGAGCAAGCGGACCUCAUAAAGUGCGUCGUAGUCCGGAUUGGAGUCUGCAACUCGACUCCAUGAAGUCGGAAUCGCUAGUAAUCGUGGAUCAGAAUGCCACGGUGAAUACGUUCCCGGGCCUUGUACACACCGCCCGUCACACCAUGGGAGUGGGUUGCAAAAGAAGUAGGUAGCUUAACCUUCGGGAGGGCGCUUACCACUUUGUGAUUCAUGACUGGGGUGAAGUCGUAACAAGGUAACCGUAGGGGAACCUGCGGUUGGAUCACCUCCUUACCU
This 414-nucleotide ribosomal RNA is filed under the name Salmonella enterica subsp. enterica serovar Panama. Its description in RNAcentral is "bacterial SSU rRNA". It matches the Rfam family "Bacterial small subunit ribosomal RNA", at positions 1122 to 1533 of the family's 1533-position model. The record is from RNAcentral. Lineage: Bacteria; Pseudomonadati; Pseudomonadota; Gammaproteobacteria; Enterobacterales; Enterobacteriaceae.